GCAUGGUUGUCGUCAGCUCGUGCCGUGAGGUGUCGGCUUAAGUGCCAUACGAGCGCAACCCCUUUCGCCAGUUGCCAUCAGGUGAUGCUGGGCACUCCGGCGACACAGACAACAGUAAGGUGUGAGGAAGGUGGGGAUGACGUCAAAUCAGCACGGCCCUUACGUCCGGGGCUACACACGUGUUACAAUGGGGUGUACAGAGCGUCGGCGGCCGGCAACGUCCGCCCAAUCGUGAAAGCAUCCCUCAGUUCGGAUGGGGUCUGCAACCCGACCCCAUGAAGCUGGAUUCGCUAGUAAUGGGCGAUCAACCAUGGCGCGGUGAAUACGUUCCCGGGCCGUUGUACACACCGCCC
RNAcentral lists this ribosomal RNA (353 nucleotides) under uncultured rumen bacterium. Its description in RNAcentral is "bacterial SSU rRNA". It matches the Rfam family "Bacterial small subunit ribosomal RNA", at positions 1043 to 1395 of the family's 1533-position model. The record is from RNAcentral.